AAUAAAAGGUUGGCACACAAAAGAAUUCCUAAAGAAAAGCACUAGAUUAGAUGACCAAAUAAAAAAACAGCACCACUGGAAAAUGUUGUGGGCCAGAAAACGUGUUUGUUCCCCGAUUUAUGCUGAUCUGUAUUUUUGGAAUUUGGCUCUGAAAUUUGUUAUGCAAUAUAUUCAGGAUCUUAUCUAAAAUCUGGCUUUGGAUUCACUCAAAACGGAUGCACCAUUUUUUUUUAAUAAAUUUUGCAAAAUUGGUGUUCGGUUAGGCCAGCUGGAGCGCUCAAGAUUUGCACUCUGAUUUUGUAAGAUUUAUCAUUUUUUUUCUGUUGCUUCUUUUGACCUAAUUCUUUUUUUGUCUUUUCUAUAACACUUUAAACUUGCAUUUUCCAGAAAAUCAGAAUUUUUCUAUGGGUGGAAAUAUUUUUCUGGGUUAAAACAGCCAAAACAGAGAAGGUGUAAACAGGGGAAUCUGAAAACUGGAAACAAAAACAGCAAGAUACCAAAGUUUAGACACAAUGGAAAUUUGUGAAAUAGAAUUGUGUAUGAUCUAAACACAAUAUGAACUCAAACUAAAAAUUAAAAAGGCACCAAAGGAUCAAAGAACAGCAGAUUC
Molecule: long non-coding RNA, 610 nt
Filed under: Phaseolus vulgaris (common bean)
Lineage: Eukaryota; Viridiplantae; Streptophyta; Magnoliopsida; Fabales; Fabaceae
Description: long non-coding RNA (PVUL_LNC004918)
Source: RNAcentral